UGCCUACGGGAGGCUGCAGUGGGGAAUUUUGGACAAUGGGGGCAACCCUGAUCCAGCAAUGCCGCGUGCAGGAAGAAGGCCUUCGGGUUGUAAACUGCUUUUGUACGGAACGAAACGGCUCUGGUUAAUACCCAGGGCUAAUGACGGUACCGUAAGAAUAAGCACCGGCUAACUACGUGCCAGCAGCCGCGGUAAUACGUAGGGUGCGAGCGUUAAUCGGAAUUACUGGGCGUAAAGCGUGCGCAGGCGGUGCUGUAAGACAGGCGUGAAAUCCCCGGGCUCAACCUGGGAAUGGCGCUUGUGACGGCAGGGCUGGAGUGCGGCAGAGGGGGAUGGAAUUCCGCGUGUAGCAGUGAAAUGCGUAGAUAUGCGGAGGAACACCGAUGGCGAAGGCAAUCCCCUGGGCCUGCACUGACGCUCAUGCACGAAAGCGUGGGGAGCAAACAGGAUUAGAUACCCCAGUAGUC
This 467-nucleotide ribosomal RNA is filed under the name uncultured Hydrogenophaga sp. RNAcentral's name for it is "bacterial SSU rRNA". It matches the Rfam family "Bacterial small subunit ribosomal RNA", at positions 335 to 795 of the family's 1533-position model. The record is from RNAcentral. Lineage: Bacteria; Pseudomonadati; Pseudomonadota; Betaproteobacteria; Burkholderiales; Comamonadaceae.